Molecule: ribosomal RNA, 252 nt
Filed under: uncultured bacterium
Lineage: Bacteria
Description: partial 16S ribosomal RNA
Rfam family: Bacterial small subunit ribosomal RNA
Source: RNAcentral
UACGGAGGAUGCGAGCGUUAUCCGGAUUUAUUGGGUUUAAAGGGUGCGUAGGCGGGCUUUUAAGUCAGCGGUAAAAAUUCGGGGCUCAACCCCGUCCGGCCGUUGAAACUGGGGGCCUUGAGUGGGCGAGAAGAAGGCGGAAUGCGUGGUGUAGCGGUGAGAUGCAUAGAUAUCACGCAGAACCCCGAUUGCGAAGGCAGCCUUCCGGCGCCCUACUGACGCUGAGGCACGAAAGUGCGGGGAUCGAACAGG